Molecule: long non-coding RNA, 1202 nt
Organism: Armigeres subalbatus
Lineage: Eukaryota; Metazoa; Arthropoda; Insecta; Diptera; Culicidae
Exons: 2
Source: RefSeq, a predicted model, not a curated record
UGAAUAGGAACCAUUAGGGUUCGGUUAUUGUCGGGUUGGUCGGAUUCCAGAUAAAAUGGCUUAGCUACACGAUCAAGCGGUUUAUUCGUUUCUUGAUUUCACCAAGAAUAGAAGUGCGCGACGGAAUAAAGUUAAAGUUAACUGUAACCAAAAAUUUGUACAUUAAAAUAGUGAAAGUGACUAGUUGAUUUAUCUAGAUCGAGAGGUGCACCAAGUAGAAGAAGUUGCCCUAAAAGUAAGAAUCCGCAGUGCGGUUAAUAGUGAAACAGUAGUGUUCUUUGUAUAAUUUAUUGUACUUAUUGUAUGUAGAUCCAUUGUGUAAGUGUAACAAGCAUCUCGAGGAACAAAGAAACAAUUGUAGUUCAUUAAGAAGAACAAGAAGAAAAAAAAGCAGAGCCAGGGCAAGGUAGUACGGUGGUGCGUAAGGCCGAUUCCCAGUGGCUCCCGAACUAGUUACAGUCCGGCAUCAACUCGUUUGUCGAGCAGUGCUUUUGGUGAAUGCCAGCGUAAUCGGUGGAUAUUAUUUGGAGUCAGGGAUCGCCCCGCAUUCCCGACGAAAUCGUCAAGCCAUCUGACGUCUUUCGGCCAUCGCCAUCGUCGCCGGAGACGCGAAGUUAAGCACGCCAUCGCCAUCGUCGCCGAAGACGCGUUUGCAAACCACGCCAUCGCCACGCCAUCGCACACCUAUCGGCCAUCGCCAUCGUCGCCGAAGACGCGUUUGUAAACCACGCCAUCGCCCACCUUUCUGCCAUUGCCAUCGUCGCCGAUAACGCGUUUGCAAACCACGCCAUCGCCCACCUUUCUGCCACCACCAUCGUCGCCGAAGACGCUAUCGCGAGCAAGCACGUCACCGGUCGAGCCCUAGAACAGCCAUCGCCACCACACCACCAUCUAUCGCUAACAUCGCAUGUACCGAGAUCGCACCCGUGUCAACGUCCAGAACCUCGAGUGGCCAUCGCCGACAUCGCCAAGUGGGUUCACGAUUCCGCCAGUGCCGGCGGUUAGCUUUCAGCAGUCAUCGUGGGUCAAGUCCACGCAACGUCGAUCAUCGCACGCUCAUCAAGAACCGGUGGCGAACGGUGGUUCUCAACUACCAUCAGACGGCCCGCGACGAACCGCACGGUAGGACCUCCGUCGAUGCAUCGUGGCACUGAGAGAAAAUCAUCCGGACUGAGAGAGAAUGUCAAGAAAAACCGCAAGUA